GAUGAACGCUAGCGGCAGGCUUAACACAUGCAAGUCGAGGGGUAUAGUAGCAAUACUAGAGACCGGCGCACGGGUGCGUAACGCGUAUGCAACCUACCUUUUACAGAGGGAUAGCCCAGAGAAAUUUGGAUUAAUACCUCAUAGUGUUAUUAGAUGGCAUCAUUUGAUAACUAAAGUUCCAACGGUAAAAGAUGGGCAUGCGUCCUAUUAGCUAGAUGGUAAGGUAACGGCUUACCAUGGCUACGAUAGGUAGGGGUCCUGAGAGGGAGAUCCCCCACACUGGUACUGAGACACGGACCAGACUCCUACGGGAGGCAGCAGUGAGGAAUAUUGGACAAUGGGCGCAAGCCUGAUCCAGCCAUGCCGCGUGCAGGAUGACGGUCCUAUGGAUUGUAAACUGCUUUUAUACAGAAGAAACACUCCCGACGUGUCGGAGCUUGACGGUACUGUAAGAAUAAGGAUCGGCUAACUCCGUGCCAG
Molecule: ribosomal RNA, 480 nt
Filed under: uncultured bacterium
Lineage: Bacteria
Description: bacterial SSU rRNA
Rfam family: Bacterial small subunit ribosomal RNA
Source: RNAcentral